Malania oleifera is the source of this 115-nucleotide small nuclear RNA. RefSeq annotates it as U5 spliceosomal RNA. The record is from RefSeq and is a predicted model, not a curated record. The transcript has a single exon. NCBI's taxonomy places the organism in Eukaryota, Viridiplantae, Streptophyta, Magnoliopsida, Santalales, Ximeniaceae.
AGCCACGUGGUGAGCACAGAGCGAACUAUUCUUUCGCCUUUUACUAACGAAUACCGUGUGCUCGCCACUUUGAGUGGCAUACGCUAAUUUUGAAAAGGGGGUAAGUUUUGGCCUU